RNAcentral lists this ribosomal RNA (683 nucleotides) under uncultured Staphylococcus sp. RNAcentral describes it as "bacterial SSU rRNA". It matches the Rfam family "Bacterial small subunit ribosomal RNA", at positions 65 to 730 of the family's 1533-position model. Lineage: Bacteria; Bacillati; Bacillota; Bacilli; Caryophanales; Staphylococcaceae. The record is from RNAcentral.
AGCGAACAGACGAGGAGCUUGCUCCUCUGACGUUAGCGGCGGACGGGUGAGUAACACGUGGAUAACCUACCUAUAAGACUGGGAUAACUUCGGGAAACCGGAGCUAAUACCGGAUAAUAUAUUGAACCGCAUGGUUCAAUAGUGAAAGACGGUUUUGCUGUCACUUAUAGAUGGAUCCGCGCCGCAUUAGCUAGUUGGUAAGGUAACGGCUUACCAAGGCAACGAUGCGUAGCCGACCUGAGAGGGUGAUCGGCCACACUGGAACUGAGACACGGUCCAGACUCCUACGGGAGGCAGCAGUAGGGAAUCUUCCGCAAUGGGCGAAAGCCUGACGGAGCAACGCCGCGUGAGUGAUGAAGGUCUUCGGAUCGUAAAACUCUGUUAUUAGGGAAGAACAAAUGUGUAAGUAACUAUGCACGUCUUGACGGUACCUAAUCAGAAAGCCACGGCUAACUACGUGCCAGCAGCCGCGGUAAUACGUAGGUGGCAAGCGUUAUCCGGAAUUAUUGGGCGUAAAGCGCGCGUAGGCGGUUUUUUAAGUCUGAUGUGAAAGCCCACGGCUCAACCGUGGAGGGUCAUUGGAAACUGGAAAACUUGAGUGCAGAAGAGGAAAGUGGAAUUCCAUGUGUAGCGGUGAAAUGCGCAGAGAUAUGGAGGAACACCAGUGGCGAAGGCGACUUUCU